RNAcentral lists this ribosomal RNA (520 nucleotides) under uncultured Archaeospora. RNAcentral's name for it is "SSU rRNA". It matches the Rfam family "Eukaryotic small subunit ribosomal RNA", at positions 569 to 1092 of the family's 1831-position model. Lineage: Eukaryota; Fungi; Glomeromycota; Glomeromycetes; Archaeosporales; Archaeosporaceae. The record is from RNAcentral.
AGCAGCCGCGGUAAUUCCAGCUCCAAUAGCGUAUAUUAAAGUUGUUGCAGUUAAAAAGCUCGUAGUUGAAUUUUAGGCCUGGCCGGACGGUCCGUCUCUGGCGAGUACUGUUCUGUCGUCGGGUCUAUCCUUCUGGUGAGCCGGUAUGUUCUUAAUUGGGCGUGUCGGGGAACCAGGACCGUUACCUUGAAAAAAUUAGAGUGUUUAAAGCAGGCUUUUGCUUGAAUAGAUUAGCAUGGAAUAAUAGAAUAGGACGUUGUGGUUCUAUUUUGUUGGUUCUAGGACCACCGUAAUGAUUAAUAGGGAUAGUUGGGGGCAUUAGUAUUCAAUUGUCAGAGGUGAAAUUCUUGGAUUUAUUGAAGACUAACUACUGCGAAAGCAUUUGCCAAGGAUGUUUUCAUUAAUCAAGAACGAAAGUUAGGGGAUCGAAGACGAUCAGAUACCGUCGUAGUCUUAACCAUAAACUAUGCCGACUAGGAAUCGGGCGACGUUAUUUUCACGACUCGCUCGGCGCCUUAUG